CAGUAGCCACGGUAACACGGAGGGUGCAAGCGUUAAUCGGAAUUACUGGGCGUAAAGCGUGCGUAGGCGGUGAGUUAAGUCUGCUGUGAAAUCCCCGGGCUCAACCUGGGAAUGGCAGUGGAUACUGGCUCGCUAGAGUGUGUCAGAGGAUGGUGGAAUUCCCGGUGUAGCGGUGAAAUGCGUAGAGAUCGGGAGGAACAUCAGUGGCGAAGGCGGCCAUCUGGGACAACACUGACGCUGAGGCACGAAAGCGUGGGGAGCAAACAGGAUUAGAUACCCCAGUAGUCCCUGUCUCUUAUAC
This 301-nucleotide ribosomal RNA is filed under the name uncultured bacterium. RNAcentral describes it as "partial 16S ribosomal RNA". It matches the Rfam family "Bacterial small subunit ribosomal RNA", at positions 509 to 807 of the family's 1533-position model. The record is from RNAcentral.